CUUGACUGUAGUCAUGGUUUCAUGGAUGUAUACACAUUUCAAAAUGAAUCUAUUUGUAACUAUAUGUGGCGAUGGAUAUUUAUUAGACUUAGUGUGAUCAGUUCUCAAUAUAUACAAAUAUUGAAUCAUUAUGUUGUACACCUGAAACUAAUAUAAUGUUAUAGGUCUAUUAUAUCAAAAUUUUAAAUAAAUGAAUCCAAGUGUAUACUUUAAAUAUGUGCUGUGUUCUAUAUCAAUACAGAUGUUACUAAAAACAUGGUAUUAUAGUUUUAUAUAAAGAUAGAUGCAAUAUAUAUGGCAGCUGCAAUACAGAAGAUGGGGCUAUAAAUUGCAAGGUUUUUACACUUGACGAGUAAGAGCAGAGUUCAAUAUUAACUCUAAGUAGAUUCUGAAUAGUUAAGAAUAUAUAUUAUAAUACAGACCGUGACCACUAAAAAUGAUCACAAAGUAUAGCAAAGAAGCAAAUUAACAUGGAAUUUUAAAUAAAUACUUAAUUAACCCAAGAAGACAAAACAGAGAAAUAUGGGAACAAAAGCCAGAUGGAAAAGACAGAAAAUAAUAAAAUGGAUGAUCUUAAUCUAACUGUAUCAAUAAUUACAUUAAAUGUAAAUGGGCUAAACACUCCAAAUGAAAUAAAGACAUUGUCACAAGGGAUAGAAAAAUAAGAGGGUUUGAUAAACUAAGGGAUGUCUUCAAUCCUGAAGUUCUUUAUGUUAAAUCCUAUGCCACAUAGUUUUCUUAUUUUAACAAAUAUUUUGAAUGGCUGCAUAGCACUCAAACUUACAGUUAUAAUAGAUUUAAUCAUCUCCAGAUGACUAGGUUUCUGUACACUAGGUUGGACAACAUAUCUAAGGUCUUUUCUGUUCUUCAUCUCUGAUAACUUAAACAGCUUAUGUUUUUAUUCUCUUUUAUGGCCAUUAACAAUCCCUCACUGAACACUUUUGUGGUUCCUGAUUUAGAGAAUACUCGAUGUAUGAUGAUGCAGAGUUAUACUAAGGUCAUUCAAUUUCAGCACCUCCUAGUCAGCAAUAAAAUAUUCAUUGUACUCAUCAUUCAGAAAUUCCUUACCAAGAACCAUGAUCCAUAUAUUACAAUCACUAAUUCAUAUUGCUAUUCAAUUCCAAAAACCUCACAGAGCAUUGGAUCUCAGCCUCCAGAGACCGUUCAUUGCUGGGCUUUAUCACAUUUAUCCAGAAAACUCAUGUCUGUGAGAAUGUCAGUCUUUCCCUGCUUGGCCAAAUGGGAUCUCCAUCUCUCAUGCAACUACAGUCCUGACACGGGAAGCUCAAAUCAUUUCUUUACAGGACUUAAUUUCUUCCUUCCUCCAUUAUAGCUCUUAAUAUUACUAAGUUGAGCACAUAGGAGAGAAUAAUCUGGUCAGUGAAUACGUAAACACUGGCUAGAAGAGACUGGGCUAGAAGAGAUAUGAGUAUCUUCAAUACGCAGUUUUUGACAGCCAAAACUAGAAACACAAAAAUCUAAGAGGGAACAGGUUAAUUAAUUUGGUCCUGCUAUGUGAUGGCAUGUACAGGAUUAUUAAUCAGGAUGAUACUGGUCCCAGUGUAAAGUACGCACUCAUAACUGGGGAAAGGUAUCCAGUUGAAACUUAAGACAUAGAUUCUGUUCUCAGAUUUUCUAAAUGUAACUGCUCUUAGAGUUCAUGACAUAUUAGUGUCUUGGGGUUUUCAUCAGUAGAGGCAAGAGUAUGAAGAUCACUUCUUAAGCAUGAAUAUCUUAGAGAAAUAUAAUCUACAUAAAAACUUAAUAAUAUGUUGUAAUCCUGUAUAAAUAUGUUAGCUAUUUUUAUUGAAGAACAUUGCAUGUCCCCUAACUGGGUAUUAUAAAAGAAACAAUUUGCCUUUUUAGGAUAAAAUUGUGCUUAUCAGCCCUGCUCUGAUAAUGCUCACAAAAAAAAAGGGGGGGGGGAAAUCAGGACUUUUACUUGAGAAUGCAUUUUUAAUUUAUAAAUCAAGAGCUUCUAGGAAAGAGGAAAUUUCCCUCCCACCGAAAUGGAGCAGAAACAAAGAGACAUUUGUGAAUUAUAACCUGCCCAAAAAAUCCGAUGUGAUCAAGCGUCUCAUACAGUGAGAACAUUAGUAAGACUGACAGUGCCCUUAAGCAGCAACAAAAGGCAUGUGGGUAAAUAAAAUGAUUCCUUAUUUUCUUCUAUUUCAAUUAGUAUUUGGACAUGUUUUUGGGAAUACAACUAAAAAUCAGAUGUUAAUGCAAAGUUUUGUUAAACUUUUCUUCUAUCAAUAAUUUAAAAUCAAUGAUUUUAUGAAAGAAAAUCAACCAUCCUCAAUGUUGACUUUUGUGUGUAAACCAAUUCUUUCCCCUCAUCAAGGUUCUUCUUUUGGGGAUGGCAGGACUGAGGAGGAAGUCAGGAGGCACCAGGCUGUUCUUGGGGCACAGAAUGACUCCCUUACACGACACUCUCCAGGUCCACACCCGCCCUGCUCAUACACAUAAACAGAUGGCAGGAGGACAGAGCCUGGACUACGGGAAUAGGUUUACAGCACGUUCCUGGGGUCCGAGCUCUGGGAACCCCGAGGCUCUGAGACAGUAGCCGCCCCUCAGAGCUCCCAAGUAGAGAACUUUCCAGGCUUUCCCAAAUUAACCUCGGUGUCCCCUGGCUGGAAAUCUCCCUUUAGGGCUCAAGAUCCUACUUCCCUCUUGCAGCCAAGCAGCUGUGAGGAGAGAAGAGGAGGAACACCAGGGAGCCCAGAGCCACCAGACAGUGACGCCACAGAGCCACAGCCAUCACACCCGCACAGACACACACCGUCCUCUGCCGUUCAGGCCCGAGAGUCCCGUGAGGACUGGCGUCCCUACUACCGGCCUCCACGCAGUGAGCGCUUCCACUGCCACCCCUCCUGGUUCACGUCGGGCUCCGAAUUGACUCGCUUCACAGGAUUCCCGCAUCCUGUGCUAACACAUCCACAAAUGAGCUCAACUCACCUUGCAAAGAGGGAGAACCGCGCGAAUACGGAAUGGAAGCCGAAGAUCUGGAGUGACCGCUGCCCUCUGGGAAGUGUCGCUCCAACCUGAACAUCUCUGGGCGCGGCGGCUCGU
Non-coding RNA from Equus caballus (horse), 3072 nucleotides. NCBI's taxonomy places the organism in Eukaryota, Metazoa, Chordata, Mammalia, Perissodactyla, Equidae. The record is from RefSeq and is a predicted model, not a curated record.